UAUUUGUUACUGUGAGCUGUGAGGAGCAAUUUUAGGGAUCAAUUUUAGGCAACAAAAUCAAUCUACUUUAGGCUGUAAUUCCUUCAUCAAAGGGAAUUAAAUCACACAAAAUUGUAUAGUCCAAAAAUAGGCUUGUACCUCUUCCUAUUUAACUGUACCAUUCUCAUUGUAAGGAAAAAAAAUGAAAAAGAAUAUAUUUCCUACAUGGUAUCAGAGCAUGGUACCCGAUCCAGCAACUUCUGUAGCCAUAUUCUAGCUGUGCUCUCUUGAUCCUUUAUACAUACACAUGGAAGACAUUAUUGACCCAGAGAACCUCAACCACCUACCACCCCAAACCAACACGCUCUUUACAGAACUCACAACACACAUGACUGAGGCUUUAAACAAGGCACAAACACCAAACCCAACUACAGAACCUUCGCCCCAAAUUGGCAUCAAAUUGGAUGGCUCCAACUAUGCUCUAUGGUCUCAAGUUAUGGAGAUGAACAUAGAUGGAAAAGACAAGCUUUGUUACUUGAAUGGAGAUGCACCUCCACCGUCAUCGACCGACCCAUCCUUACGCAAAUGGCGCACAGAAAUUGCGAUUGUCAAAGGAUGAAUAAUAAGCUCGCUGGACCCCCACACUUAUUGGCAAAUUCAUACGGUUCUCUACGGCCAAGGAGGUUUGGGAUGCAAUUGCAACUACUUUCUUUGAUGGGAAUGAUACUUCCUGUAGGUAA
This 719-nucleotide long non-coding RNA is filed under the name Olea europaea subsp. europaea. Lineage: Eukaryota; Viridiplantae; Streptophyta; Magnoliopsida; Lamiales; Oleaceae. The record is from RNAcentral.